AUGGAGAGUCUACUACAUUGGGACUUUGCCCCGGGCCUAGCCCUUGCAGACUAGGUGAGAAGAAAAUUUGGAUCUAUUGUUCAUUUUUCUCUCUCUCAAGACAUCAAGGAGUUCUUCCUUGUCGUCACAUUUACCUCGGCCUCUUUUCCUCUUACUAUGGAUUCUGUUGGCAUUGCACUACAAUGUUGCAAUGGUGGUAUAUGCUCUGGUUUCAAAGUGACUCAAAUCAACCCUCGAGCUUUUAGAUUCUCAGUGGCCAACAACAAAGUGGGGCACUUUAUCUAUGUUCUAAAGGAUCAAGUUUGGCCGGAUUUUGUUUGUCAUUUCCACCUUCUCAAUGGUCGUUUUACUCCUGCUCCCACCUCUACCAAUGUUUGA
RNAcentral lists this ribosomal RNA (378 nucleotides) under Triticum aestivum (bread wheat). RNAcentral's name for it is "partial small subunit ribosomal RNA". Lineage: Eukaryota; Viridiplantae; Streptophyta; Magnoliopsida; Poales; Poaceae. The record is from RNAcentral.